This 73-nucleotide transfer RNA is filed under the name Ixodes scapularis (black-legged tick). It matches the Rfam family "tRNA". From Rfam's summary of the family: Transfer RNA (tRNA) molecules are approximately 80 nucleotides in length. Lineage: Eukaryota; Metazoa; Arthropoda; Arachnida; Ixodida; Ixodidae. The record is from Rfam by way of RNAcentral.
UCCUGGUUAGCUCAAUUGGUAGUGCGCUCCACUGAAAAUGCAGAGAUCCCUGGUUUGAUAUCAUGACCAGGUG